UAGCACAGUGGUUAAGUGCUUAGCUGCUAACUAAAAGGUUGGAGGUUUGAACCCUCC
This 57-nucleotide transfer RNA is filed under the name Loxodonta africana (African savanna elephant). Lineage: Eukaryota; Metazoa; Chordata; Mammalia; Proboscidea; Elephantidae. The record is from Rfam by way of RNAcentral.